UACGUAGGGUGCAAGCGUUAAUCGGAAUUACUGGGCGUAAAGCGUGCGCAGGCGGUUUUGUAAGUCUGUCGUGAAAUCCCCGGGCUCAACCUGGGAAUUGCGAUGGAGACUGCAAGGCUAGAAUCUGGCAGAGGGGGGUAGAAUUCCACGUGUAGCAGUGAAAUGCGUAGAGAUGUGGAGGAACACCGAUGGCGAAGGCAGCCACCUGGGUCAAGAUUGACGCUCAUGCACGAAAGCGUGGGGAGCAAACAGG
This 253-nucleotide ribosomal RNA is filed under the name uncultured bacterium. RNAcentral's name for it is "partial 16S ribosomal RNA". It matches the Rfam family "Bacterial small subunit ribosomal RNA", at positions 524 to 776 of the family's 1533-position model. The record is from RNAcentral.